Molecule: unclassified non-coding RNA, 962 nt
Filed under: Hevea brasiliensis (rubber tree)
Lineage: Eukaryota; Viridiplantae; Streptophyta; Magnoliopsida; Malpighiales; Euphorbiaceae
Source: RNAcentral
CAAGAGAGAGAGAGAGCUAACGGAACGCAUAAAAAUUUAACCUUUCUUCUUCUUCUUCCUCCCAAAAAAGAUCGUUCGUUGGCUACCUUUGCUUUCAAGUUUCUUUCGCCAAUGUCCAAGAUGAAGUACGAUCGUAAGCCUCCACUCGCUAAAUCGCCGAUCCGGCUACGUCCCCGCCGAGUCCUCCGACCCAACACAAACUUUGUUCAAACUCCUCCAGGUUCUUUAGCUAAAUCCCAAAAGCCAAAUCCCACAAGGGACAUGGAAGGAUCGGAUCUCUGCACCGAGUACCGCACCAUAUCCUGGGAAUUACAGGCUCUAGCGAGAAAGGUUCAAGACGAGUUUGGAAAUGGAAAUUCAACUAGUGCUGGGAUAAGUGCUAGUGCUAACUCAAGUACCCUUUUUGAGAGAGGAAGGUUUUAUGAGAUGUACUCAGCGAGGAGAAACGAGAGGCUGAAAAGAAAGAAAGGGGAGACAGGGGAAGGGGGAAAGACAAGCUACAAUCUUGGAAUUACAGUUGAGUCUUCAAAGAAAAGAGAUUCAAAGAAGUUGGAAAGCUUGAGGAAAUCGAUUUCUGCUGCUUUUUCUGUGGAGAGAAGUGAGAAUCCCAGGUACUCCUUGAGAAGCUUGAGCAAAGAGAACAAGAAGCGUCCUCUGGUUAUCAACUAUGAGAAAUCUUUGCUUGCAAGUGAAAGGAAAGUAGGGGCUAGAAGGGUUAGGAAAAUCUGAAUGCUGGAAAGUUGGGGUUUUUUUUUUAUUAUUAUUUUUUUCUUUUAUGGAUUUGCCAUUUUCUUUUAUGGAUUUGCCAUUUUCUUUGGGAUUAGGAAUUUGUUAAUGCUUUCAAGACUUCAAGUGAAUGUUUGAAAUCUAAUGAUCUCUGGAAAUAGGUUGCAAUUUUGGAGUCCAUAGUCUGAAGAAGGUCUCAUUUUACCUAUAAAUCAAAUUCGGAUUUAAUUCACUAA